Molecule: long non-coding RNA, 682 nt
Filed under: Capsicum annuum
Lineage: Eukaryota; Viridiplantae; Streptophyta; Magnoliopsida; Solanales; Solanaceae
Description: long non-coding RNA (CANN_LNC008600)
Source: RNAcentral
CUUCGAUCCAUUUUAUGUGUCGUCAUUUAACCGGGCAUGGAGUUUAAAAAAAAGGAAAGACUUGGUAAAGUUUACCAAAUUAUUCUUUAUCAAAAAAUGUGUCAAUAUCUUUUUCUUUUUUAAUUAAAUGAGACCAAUAAGGAUAAAAAAGUAAUUGUGUCUUUAAAAAGUUGUCUAAUAAGGAAAGACGAUACUUAUUUUGAGACUUACUAAAAAGAAAAUGAUGACACAUAAUUUAAGACGGAAGAAGUAUUUUUUUAGCCGAUCUUAUGAUGUAUCUUCAUGUCCUUCACCACUCUAUUUUUCACAUCCUCAAUCUGCAGGUUGCAUCUGCCAUUAACAUCAUAAAAAUACUUCCUCCAUCGAGAUUUUUCAUUAAUUAAAUCACGCACAGCAACCAACGAAACCCACCAGCACUUCCAACUAUUGUUUCUAAAUCGAGAGUGUCAUCAGUCGAGGUCGUUGAUUAAUUCUCCGCUCACCGUAGCUCCUGAUCAAGCGGAGGAGGUUUGAGAUUAAUUCUUCGGUCCUCGAUGAGGAGGAGUGUAAGGUCGACAUCAAGAAAUGCACGGUUGUAGCUUGUAUAGAUCUGAUUGAUUUUCAUUUUCUGUUACUAACUGUUACAUAUCAGAUAUAUACUAUUCAAUGGCCUUAUUUAUAUUUUUUUAGACUUCACCUUGUC